CGGUUGAUGUCGUCAGUAUCCACCGGCUUUUCUUCAAGAGAGCCCGUACGCUCAACUACGCCAUGUACGAGAGCACUUAGGAGGUACCGACGUCGACAACGAGAAGCCAGCCGCCGAACGGACCUUGUUCACUGGAAUAGCAAGGGUAUGGACGCUGUCCACGAGGCACUCAGGGACCACAUCAACCGUACAAGAUGAACCUUACUGGCGUCCUAAUGCAGCAAGAGGUCAUACCAAGCCCAGUCAUCAUCAUCGUGGUCGCGCGCCGCAUACGUUACAGCACACUAACCUCCGAAUUCUC
This is a long non-coding RNA of Ornithodoros turicata, 301 nucleotides long. RefSeq lists it as uncharacterized. The record is from RefSeq and is a predicted model, not a curated record. Lineage: Eukaryota; Metazoa; Arthropoda; Arachnida; Ixodida; Argasidae. The transcript has 3 exons.